RNAcentral lists this ribosomal RNA (400 nucleotides) under uncultured bacterium. RNAcentral describes it as "bacterial SSU rRNA". It matches the Rfam family "Bacterial small subunit ribosomal RNA", at positions 355 to 771 of the family's 1533-position model. The record is from RNAcentral.
UCGAGAAUAUUCCACAAUGGGCGAAAGCCUGAUGGAGCGACGCCGCGUGCAGGAAGAAGGCCCUCGGGUCGUAAACUGCGGUAGUAGAAAACUAAUGCAAAUGAAGAUUCUACGGAAAGAGGUUGGUAACUACGUGCCAGCACCCGCGGUAAUACGUAGACCUCAAGCGUUAUCCGGAUUUAUUGGGCGUAAAGAGCGUGUAGGGGGUCCGGUGCGUCUUUGGUUAAAGCCCACUGCCCAACGGUGGAGGUGCCAAAGAUACGAUCGGACUAGAGGGAGUCAGAGGUGCAUGGAACGCACGGUGUAGGGGUGAAAUCCGUUGAUAUCGUGCGGAACACCAAAGGCGAAGGCAGUGCACUGGGACUUUCCUGACCCUGAGACGCGAAAGCGUGGGGAGCAA